This 1437-nucleotide long non-coding RNA is filed under the name Equus caballus (horse). RNAcentral describes it as "lncRNA (ENSECAG00000059663.1)". Lineage: Eukaryota; Metazoa; Chordata; Mammalia; Perissodactyla; Equidae. The record is from RNAcentral.
GUUUUUCUCCUACCGCAGCCUACACACCCACUCCACUGGAGCUCUCUUCCCAAAAUCUUAGCAACAUUUCUGGCAAAUCAUAACUCUCUGGUAGGUGGGGGUGUUAGAAUAGCCUCAUUGUCAGGUUUAAAAAUUUACCUCGGAACAUAAACUAACUGAAGUUAAAACCUCACUCUCUCACCUAGUUCAACCUCCUUCCCCAAGAUCAGCUCAGACUCUAAGCGGCCCUGGAAUGCACAGAGGAGCAGCAAGCGGGGCUUGCAGUUUCAUGUUUUCUUUUGCUCUCCUUGCUUGAUUUCCUUUCCCACCACCUCUUCUCCUAUUGACUUCUUCAGGAGAGCAUCUGGAGAAGGAAUGACAGAAGACGGAAAGAAACGCCUUUCCAUUCGGUUGGUGUGGUUCUCCCCUGCUGUGGCAGGUACCUUCUAUCACGGGGCCUCCGCACGCUUCAGAGACGCUCCCACCCCACAUUCUGUUUCAUGCAAGACUAUGUUUUGAACAUGUGACUUUAAACGUUUGCUAUCGUCACCCUCUUGGCUGUGAGCCUGGGAAGCACGGAGAUGGAGCCUCCUGUGGCUGCUGUUUGGGCACAGAGAAUCAGAGAUCCAUGGAACUUCGUACUGAAAAGGGCUUUAAAGCGAAAGGAAAUGAAAAAUGGUCCUAAUGCAGGUAUAAGCAAACUGAGGACAGUUUGAGUAGAAAACUUGAAAUGUAUGCUUAUCUUUUAACACGUCUGGUUAUGGAGUCUAUUUAGUGUGUUAAUCGGUCAAGUGUGAGUUCCGUUCUCCACCCCUGUGUCCAGCUUCACCUACAAAACGCAUCCUGGGAGGCGGGAAAGGCUGGUUUCCGGGAAACCCCACAAGGCCCACCCGUUUGGUUGCCUGAGGAAAAAUAACCCCAAAUCAAAUUCAGGUUCACAUUCAGCUUUUUAUUCAGGAACACUAUGGGGGACAUUUGGUUUGGUAAGGUGUGAUUUCGGCUCGUUUUGUUCUGGGACGUUACAUGGAUUUAUGGCAAAAUUUUAAAAUUAACCACUUCCAACUAACUCUACAUACAGGGAUUGAAAAAAAAAUUACAAAGGAAUAUUUGGAGAAGAGGAAGGCUGCAAGACUGGCCACCACUCUGCUGAACAGGCCCGUGAGGUCCAGGGGGGCAGCCACAAGCCACACGGGGCUACUGAGCACCGGGAUGUGCCUAGUCCAAAGCGCAAUGUGCUGAAAGCGCUGGUUGCUCUCCCUGUCUUUCGCUUCAUUCGAGACCUCCGCUGUUGAGUGUUCCUUAAGGUCACUCUAAAUAACUUCCUCUCAAGCCCAGGCUGCAAGCAGUUACAUCUUGGAAUGUGUAUUUUUACCUCAAACUCUAAAAAGGAGCUUCUUGUCCACAAACACCUUCAUUCCUCAGUGUGUUUAAUUCUUGCUUCUGGAAAGAUCACAGGAG